GUCCACGCCGUAAACGAUGGGCACUAGGUGUCGGGGGUAUCCACUCCCUCGGUGCCGCCGCUAACGCAUUAAGUGUCCCGCCUGGGAAGUACGGUCGCAAGAUUAAAACUCAAAGGAAUUGACGGGGGCCCGCACAAGCGGUGGAGCAUGUGGUUCAAUUCGAUGCUACGCGAAGAACCUUACCUGGGUUUGACAUCUGGCGAAUUUUUUUGGAAACAGAAAAGUGCCCGCAAGGGAACGCCAAGACAGGUGCUGCAUGGCUGUCGU
Molecule: ribosomal RNA, 267 nt
Filed under: uncultured bacterium
Lineage: Bacteria
Description: partial 16S ribosomal RNA
Rfam family: Bacterial small subunit ribosomal RNA
Source: RNAcentral